RNAcentral lists this ribosomal RNA (505 nucleotides) under uncultured bacterium. RNAcentral's name for it is "partial 16S ribosomal RNA". It matches the Rfam family "Bacterial small subunit ribosomal RNA", at positions 28 to 507 of the family's 1533-position model. The record is from RNAcentral.
GACGAACGCUGGCGGCGUGCCUAAUACAUGCAAGUAGAACGCACAGUUUAUACCGUAGCUUGCUACACCAUAGACUGUGAGUUGCGAACGGGUGAGUAACGCGUAGGUAACCUGCCUGGUAGCGGGGGAUAACUAUUGGAAACGAUAGCUAAUACCGCAUAAUAUUAAUUAUUGCAUGAUAAUUAAUUGAAAGGUGCAAUUGCACCACUACCAGAUGGACCUGCGUUGUAUUAGCUAGUAGGUGAGGUAACGGCUCACCUAGGCGACGAUACAUAGCCGACCUGCGAGGGUGAUCGGCCACACUGGGAGUGAGACACGGCCCAUACUCCUUCGGGAGGCAGCAGGAGGGAAUCUUCGGCAAUGGACGAAAGUCUGACCGAGCAACGCCGCGUGAGUGAAGAAGGUUUUCGGAUCGGAAAGCUCUGUUGUAAGAGAAGAACGGGUGUGAGAGUGGAAAGUUCACACUGUGACGGUAUCUUACCAGAAAGGGACGGCUAACUACGUG